AUUGAACGCUGGCGGCAUGCUUUACACAUGCAAGUCGAACGGCAGCGGGGAGGAGCUUGCUUCUCUGCCGGCGAGUGGCGAACGGGUGAGUAAUACAUCGGAACGUGUCGAGAAGAGGGGGAUAACCACCCGAAAGGGUGGCUAAUACCGCAUAAAUUCUGAGGAAGAAAGCUGGGGACCUAGGAAUAGGCCUAGCGCUUUUUGAGCGGCCGAUGUCGGAUUAGCUAGUUGGUGAGGUAAAGGCUCACCAAGGCGAAGAUCUGUAGCGGGUCUGAGAGGAUGAUCCGCCACACUGGGACUGAGACACGGCCCAGACUCCUACGGGAGGCAGCAGUGGGGAAUUUUGGACAAGGGGGGCAACCCUGAUCCAGCCAUGCCGCGUGUAUGAAGAAGGCCUUAGGGUUGUAAAGUACUUUUGUUAGGGAAGAAAAGUCAGCUGUGAAUAAUGGCUGAUACUGACGGUACCUAAAGAAUAAGCACCGGCUAACUACG
This 492-nucleotide ribosomal RNA is filed under the name uncultured bacterium. RNAcentral describes it as "partial 16S ribosomal RNA". It matches the Rfam family "Bacterial small subunit ribosomal RNA", at positions 30 to 505 of the family's 1533-position model. The record is from RNAcentral.